This 253-nucleotide ribosomal RNA is filed under the name uncultured bacterium. RNAcentral's name for it is "partial 16S ribosomal RNA". It matches the Rfam family "Bacterial small subunit ribosomal RNA", at positions 524 to 776 of the family's 1533-position model. The record is from RNAcentral.
UACGUAGGGUGCGAGCGUUAAUCGGAAUUACUGGGCGUAAAGAGUGCGUAGGCGGUUCUUGAAGUCCGCUGUGAAAGCCCCGGGCUUAACCUGGGAAUGGCAGUGGAAACUGGGGGACUUGAAUUGAGCAGAGGGGGGUGGAAUGCCGCGUGUAGCAGUGAAAUGCGUAGAGAUGCGGCGGAACACCGAUGGCGAAGGCAGCCCCCUGGGAUAACACUGACGCUCAUGCACGAAAGCGUGGGGAGCAAACAGG